Molecule: ribosomal RNA, 786 nt
Filed under: Colletotrichum gloeosporioides
Lineage: Eukaryota; Fungi; Ascomycota; Sordariomycetes; Glomerellales; Glomerellaceae
Description: SSU rRNA
Rfam family: Eukaryotic small subunit ribosomal RNA
Source: RNAcentral
GCUGGCGUUGUGUAACAUUACAUAGUGAAACUGCGAAUGGCUCAUUAUAUAAGUUAUCGUUUAUUUGAUAGUUCCUUACUACUUGGAUAACCGUGGUAAUUCUAGAGCUAAUACAUGCUAAAAACCCCGACUUCGGAAGGGGUGUAUUUAUUAGAUUAAAAACCAAUGCCCUUCGGGGCUCACUGGUGAUUCAUAAUAACUUCUCGAAUCGCAUGGCCUUGCGCCGGCGAUGGUUCAUUCAAAUUUCUUCCCUAUCAACUUUCGAUGCUAGAGUAGUGUUCUAGCAUGGUUACAACGGGUAACGGAGGGUUAGGGCUCGACCCCGGAGAAGGAGCCUGAGAAACGGCUACUACAUCCAAGGAAGGCAGCAGGCGCGCAAAUUACCCAAUCCCGACACGGGGAGGUAGUGACGAUAAAUACUGAUACAGGGCUCUUUUGGGUCUUGUAAUUGGAAUGAGUACAAUUUAAAUCCCUUAACGAGGAACAAUUGGAGGGCAAGUCUGGUGCCAGCAGCCGCGGUAAUUCCAGCUCCAAUAGCGUAUAUUAAAGUUGUUGUGGUUAAAAAGCUCGUAGUAGAACCUUGGGCCUGGCUGGCCGGUCCGCCUCACCGCGUGCACUGGUCCGGCCGGGCCUUUCCCUCUGUGGAACCGCAUGCCCUUCACUGGGUGUGCCGGGGAAACAGGACUUUUACUUUGAAAAAAUUAGAGUGCUCCAGGCAGGCCUUUGCUCGAAUACAUUAGCAUGGAAUAAUAGAAUAGGACGUGUGGAUCUAUUUUGAUAAGUACU